GCACCAUGGGAAUAGAUUCUACCCAUGAGUUCCAAGUAGAAAUAGUAUGAGUGACUCCUGGAAAGUCUCCUUAAAAAGAGAACAUGUCUUUUUCUUCCCCUUCCUCCUACCUGCUGACUGAACACCAAUGAGAUACAUGGAGUCCUGGCCAUCUUCUUGGACCAAGAGAUGAUUUCUGGCACUCUUGAAAGCAUGGAAGUGAUUAAUCAAGUCACUGAGGACAAGCAGCAGUAAAAUCAUUGUCAAACUAUGGAUAUUGGUUAAACUGUUUCACUCUCAUGUAAGUUGUGUGUGUGUGUGUGUGUGUGUGUGUGUGUGUGUGUCUGUGUGUGUGUCUGUGUGUUGAGAGCUGGUCAGUGGGAGAAUCACCAUGUUCAACAUUGUCCCUGAGAGAAGAUUAGCAGGAAUCAUUAAUUUAAAAGGUUUUUACAUUUUAUAAAAAUCCAGAAGCUAA
Molecule: long non-coding RNA, 454 nt
Organism: Phacochoerus africanus (Common warthog)
Lineage: Eukaryota; Metazoa; Chordata; Mammalia; Artiodactyla; Suidae
Exons: 2
Source: RefSeq, a predicted model, not a curated record